UAGGGAAUCUUCGGCAAUGGACGAAAGUCUGACCGAGCAACGCCGCGUGAGUGAAGAAGGUUUUCGGAUCGUAAAACUCUGUUGUUAGAGAAGAACAAGGACGUUAGUAACUGAACGUCCCCUGACGGUAUCUAACCAGAAAGCCACGGCUAACUACGUGCCAGCAGCCGCGGUAAUACGUAGGUGGCAAGCGUUGUCCGGAUUUAUUGGGCGUAAAGCGAGCGCAGGCGGUUUCUUAAGUCUGAUGUGAAAGCCCCCGGCUCAACCGGGGAGGGUCAUUGGAAACUGGGAGACUUGAGUGCAGAAGAGGAGAGUGGAAUUCCAUGGGUAGCGGUGAAAUGCGUAGAUAUAUGGAGGAACACCAGUGGCGAAGGCGGCUCGCUGGUCUGUAACUGACGCUGAGGCUCGAAAGCGUGGGGAGCAAACAGG
Molecule: ribosomal RNA, 429 nt
Filed under: Gemmatimonadota bacterium
Lineage: Bacteria; Pseudomonadati; Gemmatimonadota
Description: Gemmatimonadetes bacterium partial 16S ribosomal RNA
Rfam family: Bacterial small subunit ribosomal RNA
Source: RNAcentral